This 29-nucleotide non-coding RNA is filed under the name Rattus norvegicus (Norway rat). The record is from RNAcentral. Lineage: Eukaryota; Metazoa; Chordata; Mammalia; Rodentia; Muridae.
CAGAAAUUCAAGGUCAUCCUCAAGCAUUG